RNAcentral lists this ribosomal RNA (465 nucleotides) under Vreelandella stevensii. RNAcentral's name for it is "partial 16S ribosomal RNA". It matches the Rfam family "Bacterial small subunit ribosomal RNA", at positions 338 to 795 of the family's 1533-position model. Lineage: Bacteria; Pseudomonadati; Pseudomonadota; Gammaproteobacteria; Oceanospirillales; Halomonadaceae. The record is from RNAcentral.
CCUACGUGAUGCAGCAGUGGGGAAUAUUGGACAAUGGGCGAAAGCCUGAUCCAGCCAUGCCGCGUGUGUGAAGAAGGCCUUCGGGUUGUAAAGCACUUUCAGUGGGGAAGAAAGCCUUGGGGCUAAUACCCUCGAGGAAGGACAUCACCCACAGAAGAAGCACCGGCUAACUCCGUGCCAGCAGCCGCGGUAAUACGGAGGGUGCGAGCGUUAAUCGGAAUUACUGGGCGUAAAGCGCGCGUAGGCGGUCUGAUAAGCCGGUUGUGAAAGCCCCGGGCUCAACCUGGGAACGGCAUCCGGAACUGUCAGGCUAGAGUGCAGGAGAGGAAGGUAGAAUUCCCGGUGUAGCGGUGAAAUGCGUAGAGAUCGGGAGGAAUACCAGUGGCGAAGGCGGCCUUCUGGACUGACACUGACGCUGAGGUGCGAAAGCGUGGGUAGCAAACAGGAUUAGAUACCCUGGUAGUC